GCACACACCCAAAUCACCCUGUAUCCCAAGACCGGCUACUUACCGAAGCUAAGCAGGACAGAGUCUGGUCAGUACUUGGAUGGGAGACCACAUGGGAAAACUAGGUUACUAUUGGAU
This 117-nucleotide ribosomal RNA is filed under the name Danio rerio (zebrafish). Lineage: Eukaryota; Metazoa; Chordata; Actinopteri; Cypriniformes; Danionidae. The record is from RNAcentral.